GCCUGGAUAGUUCAGUGGUAGAAUACAUGCUUUGGGUGUAUGUGGUCCUCGGUUCAAUCCCGAGUUCAGGCC
Molecule: non-coding RNA, 72 nt
Organism: Rhynchosporium graminicola
Lineage: Eukaryota; Fungi; Ascomycota; Leotiomycetes; Helotiales; Ploettnerulaceae
Source: the annotation of a GenBank genome assembly